Molecule: non-coding RNA, 127 nt
Filed under: Paraphysomonas imperforata
Lineage: Eukaryota; Chrysophyceae; Chromulinales; Paraphysomonadaceae
Source: RNAcentral
UUCGCUUUGUUUCCGCUCAGCUGGGGGUAGUAGUGUGGCGUGUUAACCUGAAUGGUGCUAUCUUUGCUUCUCCCACAGUGAUUCCAGUGCUGAAACGCACAGAAAGCUUACCCGAUGGUGCUCAUUC